Molecule: transfer RNA, 82 nt
Filed under: Lentinula raphanica
Lineage: Eukaryota; Fungi; Basidiomycota; Agaricomycetes; Agaricales; Omphalotaceae
Rfam family: tRNA
About the family: Transfer RNA (tRNA) molecules are approximately 80 nucleotides in length. Their secondary structure includes four short double-helical elements and three loops (D, anti-codon, and T loops). Further hydrogen bonds mediate the characteristic L-shaped molecular structure. tRNAs have two regions of fundamental functional importance: the anti-codon, which is responsible for specific mRNA codon recognition, and the 3' end, to which the tRNAs corresponding amino acid is attached (by aminoacyl-tRNA synthetases). tRNAs cope with the degeneracy of the genetic code in two manners: having more than one tRNA (with a specific anti-codon) for a particular amino acid; and 'wobble' base-pairing, i.e. permitting non-standard base-pairing at the 3rd anti-codon position.
Source: Rfam by way of RNAcentral
UCCGAUAUGGUGUAGUGGCUAACAUUAUCGCCUCUCAUAUAGUACGACGCGAUAGCCCGGGGUUCGAUUCCCCGUGUCGGAA